AUUGAGGUGGCAGAAUAGUAUGCGUUAAAUUUAAGCUUUAAAGAUGAAAAAUUUUCCCUUGAUA
This 64-nucleotide transfer RNA is filed under the name Meretrix lamarckii (Korean hard clam). Its description in RNAcentral is "tRNA-Leu". The record is from RNAcentral. Lineage: Eukaryota; Metazoa; Mollusca; Bivalvia; Venerida; Veneridae. RNAcentral also lists the same sequence under 1 other name.